Molecule: non-coding RNA, 83 nt
Organism: Danio rerio (zebrafish)
Lineage: Eukaryota; Metazoa; Chordata; Actinopteri; Cypriniformes; Danionidae
Source: Rfam
UGGUGCUCGCUGGGUGUAACAGCCGCUCCAUGUGGAAAAUGCAUUCAAGUGCCCGUGGAUAAGCUGUUACCUGCAGAGAGUCA